GCCAAAUAAAAAGAGACCAGGCAAGACUGUGGAGAUGUAGACCAUGGGCUGCGUUACUAACUGAGGAGUCAACAGUAGGUGAGAUGACCUCAAAACAGGUAACUAUCGGACAACAUAGAAAGUAACAAAACAGGUAACUAUCGGGACAACAUAGAAAGUAACAAAACAGGUAACUAUCGGGACAACAUAGAAAGUAACAAAACAGGUAACUAUCGGGACAACAUAGAAAGUAACAAAACAGGUAACUACCAGGAAAACAUAAAAAG
Apodemus sylvaticus (European woodmouse) is the source of this 266-nucleotide long non-coding RNA. RefSeq lists it as uncharacterized. The transcript has 3 exons. The record is from RefSeq and is a predicted model, not a curated record. Lineage: Eukaryota; Metazoa; Chordata; Mammalia; Rodentia; Muridae.